GAUGAACGCUGGCGGCGUGCUUAACACAUGCAAGUCGAACGAAGCAUUUAAGACAGAUUACUUCGGUUUGAAGUCUGUUAUGACUGAGUGGCGGACGGGUGAGUAACGCGUGGGUAACCUGCCUCAUACAGGGGGAUAGCAGCUGGAAACGGCUGGUAAUACCGCAUAAGCGCACAGUACCACAUGGUACAGUGUGAAAAACUCCGGUGGUAUGAGAUGGACCCGCGUCUGAUUAGCUUGUUGGCGGGGUAACGGCCCACCAAGGCGACGAUCAGUAGCCGACCCGAGAGGUUGACCGGCCACCUUGGGACUGCGACACGGCCCAGACUCCUACGCGAGGCAGCAGUGGGGAAUAUUGCACCAUGGAUGCAACUCUGAUGCAGCGCCGCCGCGUGAGUGAAGAAGUAGUUCGCUAUGUAAAGCUCUAUCAGCAGGGAAGAUAGUGACGGUACCUGACCAAGAAGCUCCGGCUAAAUACGUG
RNAcentral lists this ribosomal RNA (481 nucleotides) under uncultured bacterium. RNAcentral describes it as "partial 16S ribosomal RNA". It matches the Rfam family "Bacterial small subunit ribosomal RNA", at positions 28 to 507 of the family's 1533-position model. The record is from RNAcentral.